RNAcentral lists this ribosomal RNA (253 nucleotides) under uncultured bacterium. RNAcentral's name for it is "partial 16S ribosomal RNA". It matches the Rfam family "Bacterial small subunit ribosomal RNA", at positions 524 to 776 of the family's 1533-position model. The record is from RNAcentral.
AACGUAGGACGCAAGCGUUAUCCGGAGUUACUGGGCGUAAAGGGCGUGUAGGCGGCUUCGCAAGUGGCUCGUGAAAGACUUCGGCUCAACCGGGGGUGGACGGGUCAGACUGCGGAGCUGGAGGAUGUCAGAAGGACACGGAAUUCCGGGUGUAGUGGUGAAAUGCGUAGAGAUCCGGAGGAACACCAGUGGCGCAGGCGGUGUCCUGGGGCGUACCUGACGCUGAGACGCGAAAGCAUGGGGAGCGAACGGG